UCGAGAAUUUUUGGCAAUGGGCGAAAGCCUGACCAAGCGAUGCCGCGUGCGGGAUGAAGGCCUUCGGGUUGUAAACCGCUGUCAGUGGGGAGGAAAGCUUUGUGAAGAGCAAGGCUUGACCUAUCUGCAGAGGAAGUGUGGGCUAAGUUCGUGCCAGCAGCCGCGGUAAGACGAACCACACGAACGUUAUUCGGAAUUACUGGGCUUAAAGGGUGCGUAGGCGGCGCAGAAAGUUGGGUGUGAAAUCCCUCGGCUCAACCGAGGAACUGCGCCCAAAACUACUGUGCUUGAGGAAGAUAGAGGUAAGCGGAACUCACGGUGGAGCGGUGAAAUGCGUUGAUAUCGUGAGGAACACCUGUGGCGAAAGCGGCUUACUGGGUCUUUUCUGACGCUGAUGCACGAAAGCCAGGGGAGCAAACG
This 420-nucleotide ribosomal RNA is filed under the name uncultured bacterium. RNAcentral's name for it is "bacterial SSU rRNA". It matches the Rfam family "Bacterial small subunit ribosomal RNA", at positions 355 to 774 of the family's 1533-position model. The record is from RNAcentral.